Molecule: long non-coding RNA, 290 nt
Filed under: Mytilus galloprovincialis (Mediterranean mussel)
Lineage: Eukaryota; Metazoa; Mollusca; Bivalvia; Mytilida; Mytilidae
Source: RNAcentral
CAACAGCUUCAACAGCGAACUAGGACAUAUAUCAACAGAAAACGAAUUAAAGCAAAUGUCAUACAUAAAACAAAAAUAUGCAUGUGUUAAUUUGCCUCCGCUGCAUUUCUGUGGAUUCUUAACUUUUUUAGGUUACGUUUAGGAUUUUCCGUUACUAAUCUUCAAAUACGAAAAACAUUUUGACCGGUGUUCACAACAUUUUAAGGUUGAUGGCAUACAUUCUGGUGUGUAUACAAUUAACAUACGUCCUUGCAUUUAAUUACCAAUAUAUAUUUAUAUAAACUAACAUU